RNAcentral lists this ribosomal RNA (253 nucleotides) under uncultured bacterium. RNAcentral's name for it is "partial 16S ribosomal RNA". It matches the Rfam family "Bacterial small subunit ribosomal RNA", at positions 524 to 776 of the family's 1533-position model. The record is from RNAcentral.
UACGAAGGGUGCAAGCGUUGUUCGGAAUUACUGGGCGUAAAGCGCGCGUAGGCGGUUUGAUAAGUUGGAAGUGAAAUCCCAGGGCUUAACUCUGGAAUUGCUUUCAAAACUGUCAGACUAGAGUAUGGCAGGGGACAGUGGAAUUCCUAGUGUAGAGGUGAAAUUCGUAGAUAUGAGGAGGAACACCAGUGGCGAAAGCGACUGUCUGGACCAUUACUGACGCUGAGGCGCGAAAGCGUGGGGAGCAAACAGG